AACUUUCGGCAAUGGAUCACUUGGCUCUCGCAUCGAUGAAGAACGCAGCGAAAUGCGAAAAGUAAUGUGAAUUGCAGAAUUCAGUGAAUCAUCGAAUCUUUGAACGCACCUUGCGCUCCUUGGUAUUCCGAGGAGCAUGCCUGUUUGAGUGUCAUUAAAUUCUCAAUCCCUCUUUCUUUCUUGGAAAGAGGCUUUGGAUUUGGAGUGUUGCUGGCUUUUUUGUUGGCUUCUCUUAAAUGCAUUAGCUUGAUAUUCUUUUGUGGAUAGGCUUUGGUUUGAUAAUAUCUAUGCCAUUGCUGUGAAACAAAUGUUCAGCUUCUAAUUGUCCUCUUCUUUGGACAACUCUUUGAUAUUUUGACCUCAAAUCAGGUAGGACUACCCGCUGAACUUAAGCAUAUCAAUAAGCGGAGGCU
This 413-nucleotide unclassified non-coding RNA is filed under the name uncultured Hygrophorus. RNAcentral's name for it is "sequence contains ITS2". The stretch from base 1 to 154 matches the Rfam family "5.8S ribosomal RNA". Lineage: Eukaryota; Fungi; Basidiomycota; Agaricomycetes; Agaricales; Hygrophoraceae. The record is from RNAcentral.